GGGGUGGUAACUCAUAUUACUGG
RNAcentral lists this non-coding RNA (23 nucleotides) under Arabidopsis thaliana (thale cress). The record is from RNAcentral. Lineage: Eukaryota; Viridiplantae; Streptophyta; Magnoliopsida; Brassicales; Brassicaceae.